This 292-nucleotide ribosomal RNA is filed under the name uncultured bacterium. RNAcentral's name for it is "partial 16S ribosomal RNA". It matches the Rfam family "Bacterial small subunit ribosomal RNA", at positions 505 to 796 of the family's 1533-position model. The record is from RNAcentral.
GUGUCAGCAGCCGCGGUAAUACGUAGGGUGCGAGCGUUAAUCGGAAUUACUGGGCGUAAAGCGUGCGCAGGCGGUUCGUUGUGUCCGUCGUGAAAGCCCCGGGCUUAACCUGGGAACUGCGAUGGAAACUAGCGAGCUGGAGUGUGGCAGAGGGGGGUGGAAUUCCGCGUGUAGCAGUGAAAUGCGUAGAGAUGCGGAGGAACACCGAUGGCGAAGGCAGCCCCCUGGGCUAACACUGACGCUCAGGCACGAAAGCGUGGGGAGCAAACAGGAUUAGAAACCCUGGUAGUCC